Molecule: ribosomal RNA, 496 nt
Filed under: uncultured bacterium
Lineage: Bacteria
Description: partial 16S ribosomal RNA
Rfam family: Bacterial small subunit ribosomal RNA
Source: RNAcentral
AUGAACGCUGGCGGCGUGCCUCAUACAUGCCAGUCGAGCGAACAGACGAGGAGCUUGCUCCUCUGACGUUAGCGGCGGACGGGUGAGUAACACGUGGAUAACCUACCUAUAAGACUGGGAUAACUUCGGGAAACCGGAGCUAAUACCGGAUAAUAUAUUGAACCGCAUGGUUCAAUGGUGAAAGACGGUUUUGCUGUCACUUAUAGAUGGAUCCGCGCCGCAUUAGCUAGUUGGUAAGGUAACGGCUUACCAAGGCAACGAUGCGUAGCCGACCUGAGAGGGUGAUCGGCCACACUGGAACUGAGACACGGUCCAGACUCCUACGGGAGGCAGCAGUAGGGAAUCUUCCGCAAUGGGCGAAAGCCUGACGGAGCAACGCCGCGUGAGUGAUGAAGGUCUUCGGAUCGUAAAACUCUGUUAUUAGGGAAGAACAAAUGUGUAAGUAACUAUGCACGUCUUGACGGUACCUAAUCAGAAAGCCACGGCUAACUACGUG